This 742-nucleotide long non-coding RNA is filed under the name Numida meleagris (helmeted guineafowl). RNAcentral's name for it is "lncRNA (ENSNMEG00000010093.1)". The record is from RNAcentral. Lineage: Eukaryota; Metazoa; Chordata; Aves; Galliformes; Numididae.
UUAAGAAAUGCAGUGCAGUGGGCUGAAUACUAUAAUUCUAACAGGGGAAAACUGGCACUAAAAUCAGUGAGAAUUUUGUCUAUGUGAGGAUUAUAAGAUUGGUUAGUACUUAAAGAGUAACUUUUCUUCUUCCAUGAAGAUCCUCACUGAUGGGUUCCUAUGCUUUACCAGCUUCUCUUCUUUACCUCAGUCAGAUUACAGUGGAGGAUGGCAUGCUCUGAGUGCAGCUGCCAAUCUGUGGCCCAUGGCUGUGUCUCUUGUACUUAAACGUCAUGACCAUUGAGACAAGUGAACAUGUCAGAAAUCAGCCUUUGGAUGAGGAAGACUGGGUCCCAGCUGAAUCAAGCAGCACAGAUGCAGAGAUCAUGGUACCAAAAGGUGGCACAACUCAAAGCCCAGGACAGAGUAUAUACAGGCUUUGGACAAAGAAAUCCCUUUGCUAGAGGUAUGUGGCUAUGGGAUGAUCUUUCAGAGCAGAGUGGGGAACACAGUUGUUAACAUCUGGUUUUAAUUCAAACUCUGUGUUACCCUCCAAUGGGCACUGGGGACUAUGAAUGCAAAACUCAUAGCCUAAGCAGAAGUCCUUGUGUGUAAUAAGGAUUUUGGUGAUGAUUUUGGCUCAGUAUGGAGGAUGCACAAGCCUCGUUUGUCAUAGACUAGAUCUUGUCUCGUGCUUCCACUUCUCUCUGGAUAGACUCACCCAUAGAACAGAUUGCCCCUGCUUCUUUCAUUUCACUUUUCA